GACGAACGCUGGCGGCGUGCUUAACACAUGCAAGUCGAACGGAAAGGCCCUGCUUUUGUGGGGUGCUCGAGUGGCGAACGGGUGAGUAACACGUGAGUAACCUGCCCUUGACUUUGAGAUAACUUCAGGAAACUGGGGCUAAUACCGGAUAGGAGCUCCUGCUGCAUGUUGGGGGUUGGAAAGUUUCGGCGGUUGGGGAUGGACUCGCGGCUUAGCAGUUUGUUGGUGGGGUAGUGGCUUACCAAGGCUUUGACGGGUGGCCGGCCUGAGUGGGUGACCGGCCACAUUGGGACUGAGAUACGGCCCAGACUCCUACGGGAGGCAGCAGUGGGGAAUAUUGCACAAUGGGCGGAAGCCUGAUGCAGCAACGCCGCGUGCGGGAUGACGGCCUUCGGGUUGUAAACCGCUUUCGCCUGUGACGAAGCGUGAGUGACGGUAAUGGGUAAAGAAGCACCGGCUAACUACGUG
This 468-nucleotide ribosomal RNA is filed under the name uncultured bacterium. RNAcentral describes it as "partial 16S ribosomal RNA". It matches the Rfam family "Bacterial small subunit ribosomal RNA", at positions 28 to 507 of the family's 1533-position model. The record is from RNAcentral.